RNAcentral lists this ribosomal RNA (466 nucleotides) under uncultured bacterium. RNAcentral describes it as "partial 16S ribosomal RNA". It matches the Rfam family "Bacterial small subunit ribosomal RNA", at positions 28 to 507 of the family's 1533-position model. The record is from RNAcentral.
GACGAACGCUGGCGGCGUGCUUAACACAUGCAAGUCGAACGGAAAGGCCCUGCUUGCGGGGUACUCGAGUGGCGAACGGGUGAGUAACACGUGGGUGAUCUGCCCUGCACUUCGGGAUAAGCCUGGGAAACUGGGUCUAAUACCGGAUAGGAGCCAUUUUUAGUGUGAUGGUUGGAAAGUUUUUUUCGGUGUAGGAUGAGCUCGCGGCCUAUCAGCUUGUUGGUGGGGUAAUGGCCUACCAAGGCGGCGACGGGUAGCCGGCCUGAGAGGGUGGACGGCCACAUUGGGACUGGGAUACGGCCCAGACCCCUACGGGAGGCAGCAGGGGGGAAUAUUGCCCAAUGGGCGCAAGCCUGAUGCAGCGACGCCGCGGGGGGGAGGACGGCCUUCGGGUUGUAAACCCCUUUCGCUAGGGACGAAGCUUUUUGUGACGGUACCUAGAGAAGAAGCACCGGCUAACUACGUG